RNAcentral lists this ribosomal RNA (305 nucleotides) under uncultured bacterium. RNAcentral's name for it is "partial 16S ribosomal RNA". It matches the Rfam family "Bacterial small subunit ribosomal RNA", at positions 508 to 809 of the family's 1533-position model. The record is from RNAcentral.
ACAGCAGUAGCCGCGGGAAAACGAAGGGGGCUAGCGUUGCUCGGAAUUACUGGGCGUAAAGGGAGCGUAGGCGGAUAGUUUAGUCAGAGGUGAAAGCCCAGGGCUCAACCUUGGAAUUGCCUUUGAUACUGGCUAUCUUGAGUACGGAAGAGGUAUGUGGAACUCCGAGUGUAGAGGUGAAAUUCGUAGAUAUUCGGAAGAACACCAGUGGCGAAGGCGACAUACUGGUCCGUUACUGACGCUGAGGCUCGAAAGCGUGGGGAGCAAACAGGAUUAGAUACCCCUGUAGUCCCUGUCUCUUAUAA